GCAACAAACACAUGUUUUGUCAUGUGGUCACUCCUGUUACAGUCAGAACAGAGCACUAGGAGACCAGCUAAAUCUGAGUGUUCCUACAUUCUGAACUGAAUGGCUUGGCAUUGACAUAUUUUUAUGAAUUGAAACUUGGACUUUACUGUAGACAACCACUUGUCUAGAAGAUUAGUAACAAGCUUUCAACUGUAAUUAUGGUAUACAAAGGGGGACUGAUAUUAAUCAUUAUUUGCGUAUCCAUUUGCUUUUAUGAAAGUAAAGAAGUGGUUUCUAAAUCAGCACAUCCUGGAAAUCAUAUAACAGAUACUCCACAGUCGAAAACAUCUGUGAAGAUACCUAGAAUUUCAACCAUACGAAGACUCUUUGAUGUAAAAAGACACAGAAUAAAGAGAUCUUCGGUUUUCCCAGCAGGAGUUAAAGUAUGUCCCCAGGAGUCUUUAAAACAAGUUCUUGACAGUCAUCUGGCAUACUACAAACUAAGAGUUUGUCAGGAGGCAGUGUGGGAAGCCUAUCGGAUCUUUUUAGAUCGGAUUCCUCAGACAGCCGAAUACCAGAGCUGGGUGGAUGUUUGCCAGCAAGAAUCCUUUUGUAUUUUUGAAAUUGGAAAGAACUUCAGCAGUCUCCAAGAACAUUCAGAAAUUAUACAGCAGAGAGUUAAACAUAAGGCAUUUACAGAAAGGAAAGAUGAAAUGAUUACAGAAACUACUUUGUCUCCUGCUGUUAUUGAGGAUUCAUCAUUUUCUACAAAUGACCUAUCCAUGUCGCUUGAAACCUUGAAUGAUACACUUUUAAAUGAAAUCAUGAAUGACAAAAAGGAACCUCUAAAGGAACUUGAAGUAACAAAUCUUGUUCCUGAACAGCCAGUGCAGCAGACUGUGGAAUUCACUGUCACUCUCACAAAACAGGAAUUUACAGAUGAAUUGAGUGAUCCAAAUUCACCACAAUACCAAGAAUUAGCCAGAAAUUCUCAACUCCAGAUGGAAAAGGUGUUUGACAAACUCCCGGGCUUCAAAGAAAUACGGGUCCUAAGAUUUAGACCGAAGAAGGAAAAUGAUGGAUCUGAUAGCAUUGUAGUAGGUUAUGCUGUAGUCUUUGAAAGAAGCUUGGACUCUAAAAAUAACAUUGAUGAGACUCCUACUAUCACAUCUAACAAUGUUGAGAAUGGCAAUAUACAAGAGCCAAAAGAAAUGUCAUACACUGUGACAGAACUGCAAAACAUGGUUGCUAUGGCACUGUGGGAUGAUCACUCUUUACCUGUGGACCUCCAAACGCUUUUGUUUGCUGAUGAUCCAGAGAAAUCAUUUGGUGUUUCAGAAACUGAUACUGAAGCUCUGAUGACCAUACCACCAUCCAAAAUAAAGGGUGAAGCUGUAAAUUCUGAGCAGCCACUGGUUCAUCCUAUUGAAGUGACAACAGAACAGGAUUUCAGCAUUCUUUCGAGUUUUUUAACAGCACAUGUGCCCACAGAAGGCCUAGCAACACUGCAGACCAAUAUCAGUCAAAUGAGUGCAGACCAAUAUCAGUCAAAUGAGGACCAUCAACUUGUACCAGUGGAAAAUAAUUCUCAUUCUUCAGACAUAAACGUCGAUGAAGCUAAUGCUGUGCCUUUCAGUGAUUCACAUAUCAAUGAAACUGAUAUCAAUGACCUAGAAAUAACAUCAAAUAAAAAUGUAGUCUUUACACCAAAUUAUCAGUUGUCUUAUAGCAAUUCAGCAGACUCAGAACUUAUAUAUUUUAAUGAAGAUGAUCUUGUUUUGGUUUAUUCAACAGUUUUACCUGAUACUGAAAGCUCUGCGCUAACUGAACAAUCUAAACACAAAGAGGAAGACAGCAAGGAGUUCAAUGCAAUCAUGUUUAGCAACACAACUGAUCUAGAACUUUUAAAUACAGCAGACCUCCUAGAAAUAUCUGGUGAUUUUACACUGAAGCACUCAAGCACUGAAGGUGUUCCUGGUCAGAUAACCUUGGGCCAAAUUAGUGAGGGAGAGUCUUCUGUGGAAACAUACACUACUCCUGCUUAUCAUUUUGUGGACAUGAAGAAUAUCACAGAUUCUUUGUUGGACAAUUUUAUUGGAGAAGAUAAAAAACAUAUAUAUGAGAUGAACCCAUCGGGUGAUUAUGAAGAGGACCUAUCUUAUUCUCCUUCCAUGCUCACUUCAACACAUUCUGCAUCCAUGGUGUCCGAAGAUAGCACCUCACCUACAGUUUCACUUUCUGCUAGUACAAUUAAAACAUUGUCUGCUUACAUAGAAUCAAGUGAUAUAAUCUCUACCACACCAAGCACUGGAAUGCAGUUCCAUGGAUCUACAUUAGACAAGCCAAAUGAAAGCUUUCAGCCGACCGAUGUUUAUGAAGUGACUAGCCUACCGACCACACCAAUUUAUGUGGAGGUUAGUGAGAAAAACACACUGACAACUUCUCAAAUGAUCCUACCAAAUAUUCCUGAAGAAAAUCAAUAUAAUAUUACCACUGCAAAUCUCCAAGGUGCCAUGACAAGUCCACCAGUGACAGCGGUAGACAUUUCUAACAUUGAUGAUCCAGCUGUGACUGAAUUGAGUUUCCUAACACCAGUUUCAACAGAUGACAUAAGUGAAAUGACCCUCGCAUCAAAAAGUCUAGUAUAUGACAUUACAACCGUACUUGACAAAGCUACUAUAAAAAGUACAGAUGAAAAUGAAUAUAAUAUUGAAGAAAUAUCAGGUGACGACAGCUUCUUCAGUUUGACCUCUCAAUCAUCUGCCUUGGAGCAUUCAACAAUUGGCUCUGAUGCUACAGUCAACAAAGGCAAUGAACUUGUGGUGUUCUUCAGCCUCCGUGUAACAAACAUGCCCUUUUCUGAUGAUUUAUUCAAUAAAAGUUCCCCGGAAUAUAAGGCACUAGAACAACAAUUUUUAUACCUGCUGCUCCCUUAUCUUCAAUCGAAUCUAACAGGCUUUAAGGAAAUGGAAAUCCUGAACUUCAGAAAGGGAAGCGUGAUUGUGAACAGCAAGUUGAAGUUUGCUAAAUCCGUGCCCUACAAUGUCACAAAAGCUGUUCACUGUGUGCUGGAAGAUUUUUGCAAUGCGGCAGCGCAGCGCCUGAAUUUAAAGAUUGAUAGUCACUCACUUGAUAUUGAACCUGCUGACCAUGCAGAUCCAUGCAAAUUUAUGGCAUGUGAUGAAUUUUCAGAAUGUUCAAUAAACCCCAGAACAAAAGAGGCAGCCUGCCUGUGUAAAGCUGGUUACAAAAGCCUCGAUGGGCUACCAUGCCAAAGUGUCUGUGAACUGGAACCAAACUAUUGUGCUGAUGGACAAACUUGUGAAAUUGUAAAGGGGCAAGGUGCAGUUUGCAGAUGUCUCAAAGUUAAACACUGGUUUUACAGUGGAGACCAUUGUUCUGAGAUUGCAGUACAGAAUGUAAGCAUCAUGGUUAUAAUAGCUUCACUUGGAACUCUGGUUAUGGGGUUUAUGCUCAUCAGACUUGCCAAAAUGUACGGAGGACACAACAACCACAAGUCACAAAAUGAAAUAAAUGUCAGCAGCCACAGACUCCUGAAUUCUGGAAAAAUAAGCCCAGCAUUUAACCAUGAUGAAAGUGAAAGUAUGAAAACACGUUACACCACUACAAGUGCCUGCAACAGCCCUGCCAGGGCCACUGAUCAUAGAGGGCUGCACACACUUCAACACACGCAGCCAAGUGUUAGGAGGUUACCAGAAGUUUCUACUGAACCAAAACUGAAAACUGGAGUAUGAAAUUUUUUCACAGGUUGGCAGUGUCAUUAUUAAUUGUAGAGAAAAAAAAUACAGAUUGACCUUCUACAACCAAGGAAGAUAACAAGACCUUUUAAGAACAGAUACAUUGUUUUGUUGUUGUUUCUCUUUUGUCCCAGGAAAAAAAAGUUCCAGAAAUCAUAUAUUUAUCCCCAUGUACAAAUAAUAAAACCAAUUAAAAAGAAUAAACAUUAGUAAUUUUUGUUAGCGGUGAUUACAAAAAUGGGGCUUUGGAAAAGUUACCUGUUCCACUAUUCCAUGUCUAGUGUAAACAAUCAAUAAAACAAAACAAAGUAU
This is an RNA transcript of Xenopus laevis (African clawed frog), 4049 nucleotides long. It is a transcript of the gene named interphotoreceptor matrix proteoglycan 1, with no coding region annotated. The transcript has 19 exons. NCBI's taxonomy places the organism in Eukaryota, Metazoa, Chordata, Amphibia, Anura, Pipidae. The record is from RefSeq and is a predicted model, not a curated record.